UCCAGAGGUCUCAAGCGUUGUUCGGAUUCAUUGGGCGUAAAGGGUGCGUAGGCGGCGAGGUAAGUCGGGUGUGAAAUCUCGGAGCUUAACUCCGAAACUGCAUUCGAUACUGCCGUGCUUGAGGACUGGAGAGGAGACUGGAAUUUACGGUGUAGCGGUGAAAUGCGUAGAUAUCGUAAGGAAGACCAGUGGCGAAGGCGGGUCUCUGGACAGUUCCUGACGCUGAGGCACGAAGGCCAGGGGAGCAAACGGG
This 253-nucleotide ribosomal RNA is filed under the name uncultured bacterium. RNAcentral's name for it is "partial 16S ribosomal RNA". It matches the Rfam family "Bacterial small subunit ribosomal RNA", at positions 524 to 776 of the family's 1533-position model. The record is from RNAcentral.